Molecule: long non-coding RNA, 1526 nt
Filed under: Equus caballus (horse)
Lineage: Eukaryota; Metazoa; Chordata; Mammalia; Perissodactyla; Equidae
Description: lncRNA (ENSECAG00000047571.1)
Source: RNAcentral
AAGACAUUUGGGAAGUGUUUGACUCGUUUUUAGCCACCCUACAUCACCUGUUCAAAAUAUAAGUAACUUCAGACUUUGCGAACGGCCUCCAACGUCUCCAGUGGGGAGCACACACAGCGUCUUCUCGGCGUCUGGUCUGGAGCUCCAGGGUGAGCACUGGCCUCCAGCGGCUCUCUCCUCGUCCUGUCCACACAGGAUGCUGUCCCCUCCCCUUUCCAUCACCUUCUGGGUUUUCCUUCAUCAUCCUGGCUUAGCUCUGGGACCUCGAUGUCCCGUCCUGGACUCUGGAUCUCUGUCCCUCCUCUCUCCACGUCUCCUCUAUCACCAGCCUAGAAAUCUCACAGCAACACCCAGUCCCAGGGCGCCGCCCUCGGAGCCGUCCUGGGCUCCCUUUCAGAGAUCAAGAACAGCCUGGCUCUAUCUGGCAUCCCUGGAGAUUCAUGGCCUUUAUCAUUAUCCCAAAAUAAAUCUAAAGCACAAAACCAUGGCCUCUCAAGUUUCCGCUUUUCCUCCCGGAACCCUGAGCUCUGCCUGGCUUCAAGGAGCAUGACAAAGAGGGCAUUCAGGGGCCUCUGUGUCGUGGCAGCAGGGGGCCUGGCCGCUCACUGCACUCGGUGUGCACAGAUCCGUUGGGAGGAGCCGACCUGUUUUCAGUCUGGAGUGGAAUAACGAAAGCGUGAGUUGCCGGAACCUCUUUACCCAACUCACCACAGGUGAGGCGGCUCGGCCCGUGUCUAGGGGAGUCGCCGGCCUUGGACCUUAAAUUGUCUUAAACCCAAUUUCCCAUGUGCCUGACUCACUCUGACCUUAUCCCAAAACACUCAGAGUGUUUUCUCGAUGCCACCUUGGACCCUGGAGCCCUGCAUGUUCUCUCCUGGGAUCAUCUAACUGUAAUCCACAGUGCGCCGGGGGUCCAGCCACAACGUCUCCCUUUGGCCUCCAGGAGCCUAAAAUUAGGAUCCUCUAGCUUCUGUGUCUGCAAAGAUGCUCAGAGGUAUAAUCCCUAAAACUUGAUAAUCUAGCCAACUGCAGUUACGAGCCACCCACCCCUCUGAUUGUAUUGCUGUGGUGUGGACAUGAUCUGUAGUUUCCUCAAAGCAUCGGACACGGAGCUUGGGAGAAAACAACCUACAGGAAGAUUAGCCCUAAGCUAACAUCUGCUACCAGUCCUCUUUUUGCUGAGGAAGACUGGCCCUGAGCUCACAUCCAUGCCCAUCUUCCUCUACUUUAUACGUGGGAUGCCUACCACAGCAUGGCUUGCCAAGCGGUGCCAUGUCCACACCCAGGAUCCAAACGGGAGAACCCCGGGCCGCUGAAGCAGAAUGUGCGCACUUACCCGCUGUGCCACUGGGCCGGCCCUGAGUCUCUUUUCUAACAGUUGGAAAUACACUGCUUUAUUUCUAAAAUCCAAGUGGCAAGUUUAAGUUAUGGAAGAACUAACACUUUUGAUUCUGAUGCUGUGUGUUGCAUACUCUGUGGACAAAUAGCUGAAUGUUUUCACCCUAGUGCCAUUUCAACAGGGACAG